This 74-nucleotide transfer RNA is filed under the name bioreactor metagenome. Its description in RNAcentral is "tRNA-Gln". It matches the Rfam family "tRNA". Rfam says of the family: Transfer RNA (tRNA) molecules are approximately 80 nucleotides in length. Their secondary structure includes four short double-helical elements and three loops (D, anti-codon, and T loops). The record is from RNAcentral.
UUGGGAAGUCGCCAAGCGGUUAAGGCUCUGGUUUUUGGUGCCGGCAUCGGGGGUUCGAAUCCCUCCUUCCCAGU